Molecule: unclassified non-coding RNA, 25 nt
Filed under: Dictyostelium discoideum
Lineage: Eukaryota; Evosea; Eumycetozoa; Dictyosteliales; Dictyosteliaceae
Source: RNAcentral
GGGGCACAUGAUGACAUCGGUCCUU